This 240-nucleotide ribosomal RNA is filed under the name uncultured Lactobacillus sp. Its description in RNAcentral is "partial 16S ribosomal RNA". It matches the Rfam family "Bacterial small subunit ribosomal RNA", at positions 125 to 354 of the family's 1533-position model. The record is from RNAcentral. Lineage: Bacteria; Bacillati; Bacillota; Bacilli; Lactobacillales; Lactobacillaceae.
CCGUAGCCCAAGAGAUCGGGAUAACACCUGGAAACAGAUGCUAAUACCGGAUAACAACAGAUGAUGCCUAUCAACUGUUUAAAAGAUGGUUCUGCUAUCACUCUUGGAUGGACCUGCGGUGCAUUAGCUAGUUGGUAGGGUAACGGCCUACCAAGGCGAUGAUGCAUAGCCGAGUUGAGAGACUGAUCGGCCACAUUGGGACUGAGACACGGCCCAAACUCCUACGGGAGGCAGCAGACG